ACACGAUCUUGAUACCCAAAAGGACUCAUGUUCUCAACAAACCCAUUAUCACUUGCAUUUGGAAACCUAAAUCCAUCACCCUGAGUGGAACUGGAAUCAGCUUUGAUACAUGACAAGUAUUUGUCGGCCAGAUACAUAAGAGAUUCCUCAGCAGCAUGUCGUUGCGCUUCCCUUCUCGUCCGGCCGAUUCCUUCUCCAACCUUUUCUCCUGCAAACAACACCUCCAAGCAGAACUGCAGUUCUGGACUCGAA
Molecule: unclassified non-coding RNA, 252 nt
Filed under: Hevea brasiliensis (rubber tree)
Lineage: Eukaryota; Viridiplantae; Streptophyta; Magnoliopsida; Malpighiales; Euphorbiaceae
Source: RNAcentral